UUGCAAAUUGGGAAAUUACGCCAACAACUAAUGCAUUGAGGAAAUAUCCGAAGUAGAUGACAGAGAAGACAAAAUACCUAUUAUGUCCACAAUUGAAGGACUUAUUCAACUUGCACAAUUGCAAUUAUUGCAACCAAAAAGAAGAUAUUCCUAAAGUUUAUCUUCCACCUACUAUGGAAAAAGACAAAGAAGAAGAAGACAAAGAGCAAAAUGAAGACUAAAAGAGUUUUUCGUAAAAAGUCUUGUAAUUUUCAAAAACUGUAGUAUUUUAGUUUAGUCUUGUUAGGCUAGUAUUUUAGUCUUAUUAGGCUAGUAUUUUUGAAGAAAAGUGUUUGUCAUGUUAGGCUAGUAUUUAUUUCAAGAAAAGUGUAGUAUUUUUAGGCUAGAAAAGUCUUUAUCUUGUUAGGCUAGUAUUUAUUUAUUUCAAGAAAAAUCUUGUAAAUAGUAGGAAAAGUUUUAUGUAAAGAUGUAACGUGUCAUAGUGAGUCAGCAAAGAGAUAAGAAGGAAUAAUUUGGGUGGAUGAUGGGGCCAAUGAGCACCCGCACUCUAAUUAUUACCCUCAAUCCUUUGCCUAUAUAUAUAGGACUUUGU
This 592-nucleotide long non-coding RNA is filed under the name Nicotiana benthamiana. Its description in RNAcentral is "long non-coding RNA (NBEN_LNC035069)". Lineage: Eukaryota; Viridiplantae; Streptophyta; Magnoliopsida; Solanales; Solanaceae. The record is from RNAcentral.